GUCAAGACUAACUUUUGUGUCCGUUUCUCUUUAUUACUACUUGCCGACUCAGAUUAAGUCUGAGGCCUGUAGUGGAACAUUGCAUAAUUAGUCAUGCUAUCCCGCGUUUUACUGCUUAAAGAAUAGUCUCUUGUUAUAUGCUAGUGUUUUUUCUAAUCUGAUACAAACUUGUCUUUGUGUGACUUUGUCACAAGACUGAGCGUAUAGCUAUGAUCCGUUAGGUACGUCCGCAGCAUCUGACAUCCCGUGGGUUUACUAUCUACAGGAAGUCACAUGUAUGGGAACUUGCAGAAAGGAGCACAUUAUAAUGUUUGCUGUUGGGAAUGUAGUUAGACGGUGAAGACCUUGGGCUAUCAACCUCGUGUUAUCUUAAAUCUGCACAACAAGUAAUUGCCUUUUACACACUUUGUGCCACGUCUACUAAAAGGAUGUACUUCUCUAUAAAAGCGGAGACCCGUCACUGUUCGUUGGGCCUUAACUGCACAACUGUUGAAGUGCAUAGUUGACUGCUCCAUUUUAGCUAAUCUUAUAAUAAAGUGUUGUUUGAAAGAAUCUGCAGUCUCUCUUAUAGAAUUUAUCUGACAAGCCGGCAACAUCGAGAGUGAGGAUAAACCCAGCCUGCCUCUCUCCUUCCACACCAAGUCCAGACCUACAGUCACUGGGUCCUGAUUGUGACAGAGGAGCCCAGUUUGCACUGCAGGAUCCAGAGAUGGCAUCAGUGAAGCUGGAAGACUGCAGUCAAACACUGGAGCUGAAUGUCAACAUUAAAGAUGAAGAAGAGGAGGAGAAGAUUGGGAAAUAUGUUUCUCAUGGUCACAUUGAGACAUUCUCUACAUCCAGAGAGCAACAGCAGGAAGAUCACAGACCUAAGAGGUCUCACCAAUGCCCACAUUAGAAGACGAAAUUGCCUCGGAUCAGAGAGCAUGGUCAGGCCCAGAACAGAAGAUGGACGGGUUGGGAUUCUGACAUCUGGCUAAACAAAGAGACGACCAUGGACAUUCCACAGGGGAAAAGAGGGAAACUCAUUGGGGCCAUAAAAUGUAUAGCUGGGGAGGUGACGCCCAUAAGGGAAGAGUAUAAAAUGUGUUGUGAGCUUUUUAAAUGCAUGCACUCAGCUGACUGUAUCCUUGGUAUUAAACACUCUCUUAAACUUCU
Long non-coding RNA from Oncorhynchus nerka (sockeye salmon), 1155 nucleotides. RefSeq lists it as uncharacterized. The record is from RefSeq and is a predicted model, not a curated record. Lineage: Eukaryota; Metazoa; Chordata; Actinopteri; Salmoniformes; Salmonidae. The transcript has 3 exons.